This 403-nucleotide ribosomal RNA is filed under the name Verrucomicrobiota bacterium. Its description in RNAcentral is "Verrucomicrobia bacterium partial 16S ribosomal RNA". It matches the Rfam family "Bacterial small subunit ribosomal RNA", at positions 355 to 776 of the family's 1533-position model. Lineage: Bacteria; Pseudomonadati; Verrucomicrobiota. The record is from RNAcentral.
UGGGGAAUAUUGCACAAUGGGCGCAAGCCUGAUGCAGCAACGCCGCGUGAACGAUGAAGGUCUUCGGAUCGUAAAGUUCUGUUGCAGGGGAAGAUAAUGACGGUACCCUGUGAGGAAGCCCCGGCUAACUACGUGCCAGCAGCCGCGGUAAUACGUAGGGGGCUAGCGUUAUCCGGCUUUACUGGGCGUAAAGGGUGCGUAGGUGGUCUUUCAAGUCGGUGGUUAAAGGCUACGGCUCAACCGUAGUUAGCCUCCGAAACUGGAAGACUUGAGUGCAGGAGAGGAAGGUGGAAUUCCCAGUGUAGCGGUGAAAUGCGUAGAUAUUGGGAGGAACACCAGUAGCGAAGGCGGCUGUCUGGACGGCAACUGACACUGAGGCACGAAAGCGUGGGUAGCAAACAGG